RNAcentral lists this ribosomal RNA (253 nucleotides) under uncultured bacterium. Its description in RNAcentral is "partial 16S ribosomal RNA". It matches the Rfam family "Bacterial small subunit ribosomal RNA", at positions 524 to 776 of the family's 1533-position model. The record is from RNAcentral.
UACGUAGGGGGCAAGCGUUGUCCGGAUUUAUUGGGCGUAAAGAGCGUGUAGGCGGCCAAGCAGGUCCGCUGUGAAAACUCGAGGCUCAACCUCGAGACGUCGGUGGAAACCGUUUGGCUAGAGUCCGGAAGAGGAGAGUGGAAUUCCUGGUGUAGCGGUGAAAUGCGCAGAUAUCAGGAAGAACACCAAUGGCGAAGGCAGCUCUCUGGGACGGUACUGACGCUGAGACGCGGAAGCGUGGGGAGCGAACAGG